GCUGCGGUGGACCGGCACCGCUGCGCAAAUCGGGUCGACGCUGGCGACACGGACGGGAUCUCAUGGCUGCUGCUGCAGCGCGCAGCUUGCUGCGCAGGUUGGCGAUGGAGUUCGCUGCGCGACGAGGGAGUGAGGUAGUGGCAGGGACGUCCGACAGCAAAGCAAGGGAGGAGCUCGCUGCCGGGGCUGCUCGCCAUGGUUGCCGAGCUAGCAGCAGGGGGAACCUUCGGCCAGGGAGGAAAAAAAAUGGGGCGAGCUCUGCUGGAAUUUCUGGGCGCCGUCCAAGGAAGCUGCUGCCGCUGCUUUGCGUAGUAGCUCGG
This 320-nucleotide unclassified non-coding RNA is filed under the name Zea mays. RNAcentral describes it as "misc RNA Zm00001eb237360". The record is from RNAcentral. Lineage: Eukaryota; Viridiplantae; Streptophyta; Magnoliopsida; Poales; Poaceae.